RNAcentral lists this ribosomal RNA (320 nucleotides) under Atlanticoncha ochracea. RNAcentral describes it as "Leptodea ochracea partial 16S ribosomal RNA". It matches the Rfam family "Bacterial large subunit ribosomal RNA", at positions 1954 to 2510 of the family's 2925-position model. The record is from RNAcentral. Lineage: Eukaryota; Metazoa; Mollusca; Bivalvia; Unionida; Unionidae.
AGGUAGCGUAAUAAAUAGCCUCUUAAUUGGAGGCCAGUGAAUGGCAAGACUAGGGAUACCUGUACCCUGUAUAGAAAAACAACUUUUCAUCUGAGUGAAAAGACUCAGAUAAUAAAGGAAGACGAAAAGACCCCGCGGAACUUUACCUUUUCCAGUUCCACAAGUGCCUAGAAACACAAAAAACAAAAGGUUUGAUUGGGGCAAUCUCGGAACCACCCAAACUUCCGACUUAUAUUACGAGCCAUACAAAACUUAAUAAGGACCAAAAAGAAGUUACCCCGGGGAUAACAGCGUAAUCCAACUGAGAGUACACAUCGAAA